RNAcentral lists this transfer RNA (71 nucleotides) under Fukomys damarensis (Damara mole-rat). It matches the Rfam family "tRNA". Rfam says of the family: Transfer RNA (tRNA) molecules are approximately 80 nucleotides in length. Lineage: Eukaryota; Metazoa; Chordata; Mammalia; Rodentia; Bathyergidae. The record is from Rfam by way of RNAcentral.
GGGGGUUUAGCUCAGUGUAGAGCAUUUGCUUAACACGCAGGAAGCCCAGGAUUCAACCCCCAGUACCUCCA